Molecule: transfer RNA, 76 nt
Filed under: Actinomycetes bacterium
Lineage: Bacteria; Bacillati; Actinomycetota; Actinomycetes
Also listed under: 1 other name
Description: Actinobacteria bacterium tRNA-Lys
Rfam family: tRNA
About the family: Transfer RNA (tRNA) molecules are approximately 80 nucleotides in length.
Source: RNAcentral
GGGCCGCUAGCUCAGCCGGUAGAGCAGGAGUCUUUUAAACUUCAGGCGCCGGGAUCGAGACCCGGGCGGCCCACCA